ACUCUAAGCGGUGGAUCACUCGGUCAUGGGUCGAUGAAGAACGCAGCAAACUGUGCGUCAUCGUGUGAACUGCAGGACACAUGAACAUCGACAUUUGAACGCAUAUCGCAGUCCAUGCUGUUAUGUACUUAAUUAAUUUUAAAGUGCUGCUUGGACUACAUAUGGUUGAGGGUUGUAAGACUAUGCAAAUAAGUUGUUCAUAAUUUCAUUUCAUGAUUUUUAUAGCACAUGGUAUUUUUGGGUAUAAUAAUUAUUAAUUGUUAUAUCAUAAUAUUAAAUUAUAUGAAAACAUAUCUCACAUUGUGUAAUAUUGAAUGUGAAACGAAGGAAAUUUUCUUUUUUUUAAAUCAAUAAUACUGAGAAUGUCUAGCAUAAAAAUGUGAAAUAUUUUCAUCUAGAUUGUCUCUUAUUAAUGAUGCAAAAUCGAAAAUGUUGCUAAUGUUAUUAUUCUUCGUUGGUUUGUUAAAAAUAUAACAAUUUAAUAUAUAUGUUUCUCUAUAUAAAAGAAUUAAUGCUAUAAAUGUUUAUACAACCUCAACUCAUAUGGGACUACCCCUGAAUUUAAGCAUAUUAUUAGGGGAGGAAAGAAACUAACAAGGAUUUUCUUAGUAGCGGCGAGCGAAAGAAAUCAGUUCAGCACUAAGUCACUUUGUCUAUUGGCAAAUGUGAGAUGCGUGUAUGGAGCGUCAUAUUCUAGUAUGGAAUUAACAUUUAGUCUUCUUAAUGAGCAUUACCAUAGAGGUGCAGGCCGUAUACGUUAUGAUUACUAGAUAUGUUUCAAAGAGUCGUGUUGCUUGAUAGUGCAGCACUAAGUGGGUGGUAAACUCCAUCUAAACUAAAUAACCAUGAGACCGAGUAACAGUACCGUGAGGAAGUUGAAAGAACUCUGAAUAGAGAGUUACAGUACGUGAAACUGCUUAGAGGUUAGCCCGAUGAACUGAUAUCCGUUAUGGAAAUUCUCAUUGACUUGUGUAUUAAACAAUUAUGAUAUAGUGUCAUUUUUCCAUAUAAGGACAUUGUAAUCUAUUAACAUAACUAAAUUUAUCAUAAAUAUGGCUUAUAGUUUAUUCAAAUUUAUGCUUGCAUUUACAUAGAUAAUGUCUUAUUUGAUAAUGUGAUGAUUAUGAACGUGCGUUAUUUUUCGGAUUAUUAUGGCAUUAUCAUUGAUUUUGUGUUUAUUAUAUGCACUUGUCGAUUACAAUGCGAAGAUUCAGGAUACCUUCGGACCCGUCUUGAAACACGGACCAGGAUCUAACAUAUGUCAGUUAUUGGAUAACCUAAUAGCGUAAUUAAUUGACUAAUAAUGGAUUGUUUUUAACUAUUAUGCUAAUUAACACAUCCCGGGUUCUAUAUAGUUAUGUAUAAUAAUAUAUUAUUUAUGCUCUAACUGGAACGUCUUGAGCAGAUAUGCUGUGACCCGAAGAUGGUGAACUAUACUUGAUCAGGUUGAAGUCAGGGAACCCUGAUGGAAGACCGAAACAGUUCUGACGUGCAAUCGAUUGUCAGAAUUGAGUAUAGGGCGAAGACCAUCGAACAUCUAGCUGGUUCCUUCCGAGUUUCCCCAGGAUAGCUGGUGCAUUUUAUGUUAUAUAAAUAUUUAUCUGGUAAAGCGAAUGAUUAGAGGCCUUAGGGUCGAAACGAUCUUAACCUAUUCUCAACUUUAAAUGGGUAAGAACCUUAACUUUCUUGAUAUGAAGUUUAAGGUUAUGAUUAUGUGCCCAGUGGGCCACUUUUGGUAAGCGAACUGGCGCUGUGGGAUGAACCAAACGUAAUGUUACGGUGCCAAUUAACAACUCAUGCAGAUACCAUGAAAGGCGUUGGUUGCUUAACAGCAGGACGGUGAUCAUGGAAGUCGAAAUCCGCUAAGGAGUGUGUAACAACUCACUGCCGAAGCAACUAGCCUUAAUGGAUGGCGCUUAAGUUGUAUACCUUACUUACCGCUAAAGUAGAUGAUUUAUUUACUUGUAAUAUAAAUUUUGAACUUUAGUGAGUAGGAAGGUACAUGGUAUGCGUAGAAGUGUUGGCGUAAGCCUGCAUGGAGCUGCAUUGGUACAGUCUUGGUGGUAGUAGCAAUAAUCGAUGAGACCUUGGAGGACUGAAGUGGGAGAGGUUUCGUGUGAACAGUGGUUGAUCACGGUUGUCGGUCCUAGUUCAAGGCGAAGCCGAAUUUUCAAGUAUAAAUGACUAUAUAUUACAAAUGCCAAUAUUACUUGAUAUUUUGACGAAAGGGAUACGGUUCCAUUCCGUACCUGUUGAGUAUCGUUUGUUAUUAAUAUGGGCCUCGUGCUCAUCCUGGCACAGGACGACCUAAGAAGCCGUCGAGAGAUAUCGGAGGUUUUCUUUUCUGUUUUAUGCCGUACUACCAUGGAGUCUUUCGCAGAGAUAUGGUAGAUGGGCUAGAAGGCAUGAUAUACUGUUGUGUCGAUAUUUUCUCCUCGGACCUUGAAAUUUAUGGUGGGGAUACGCAACUUCUCAACGGCCGUACCAAUAUCCGCAGCUGGUCUCCAAGGUGAAGAGUCUCUGUCGAUAGAUAUGUAGGUAGGGAAGUCGGCAAUUAGAUCCGUAACUUCGGGUAAGGAUUGGCUCUGAGAUUGAGAUAGUCGGGCUUGAUUGGGAAACAAUAACAUGGUUUAUGUGCUCGUUCUGGGUAAUAGAGUUUCUAUCAUUUAUGUUAGUUGCUUGUUCCCCGGAUAGUUUAGUUACGUAGCCAAUUGUGGAACUUUCUUGCUAAAAUUUUUAAGAUACUAGUUGGGUCAACCAAUUAGUUCUAUUAAUUAUAACGAUUAUCAAUUAACAUCAUUCAACUGGCCGGACUUGGGGAAUCGACUGUCUAAUUAAACAAGCAUUGUGAUGGCCCUAGCGGGUGUUGACACAAUGUGAUUUCUGCCCAGUGCUCUGAUGUCAAAGUGAAGAAUUCAAGUAGCGCGGGUCAACGGCGGGAGUACUAUGACUCUUAAGGUAGCCAAAUGCCUCGUCAUCUAAUUGUGACGGCAUGAAUGGAUUAACGAGAUUCCUACUGUCCUAUCUACUAUCUAGCGAAACACAGCCAAGGGACGGGUUGGAAUAAUUAGCGGGGAAAGAAGACCCUUUUGAGCUUGACUCUAAUCUGGCAGUGUAAGGAGACAUAGAGGUGUA
Molecule: ribosomal RNA, 3135 nt
Filed under: Drosophila serrata
Lineage: Eukaryota; Metazoa; Arthropoda; Insecta; Diptera; Drosophilidae
Description: eukaryotic LSU rRNA
Rfam family: Eukaryotic large subunit ribosomal RNA (bases 530-3135)
Source: RNAcentral